RNAcentral lists this ribosomal RNA (504 nucleotides) under uncultured bacterium. RNAcentral describes it as "bacterial SSU rRNA". It matches the Rfam family "Bacterial small subunit ribosomal RNA", at positions 15 to 507 of the family's 1533-position model. The record is from RNAcentral.
GAUCAUGGCUCAGGAUGAACGCUAGCUACAGGCUUAACACAUGCAAGUCGAGGGGAAACGACAUCGAAAGCUUGCUUUGAUGGGCGUCGACCGGCGCACGGGUGAGUAACGCGUAUCCAACCUGCCCACCACUUGGGGAUAACCUUGCGAAAGUAAGACUAAUACCCAAUGAUAUCCCACGAAGGCAUCCGAAUGGGAUUAAAGAUUUAUCGGUGAUGGAUGGGGAUGCGUCUGAUUAGCUUGUUGGCGGGGUAACGGCCCACCAAGGCUACGAUCAGUAGGGGUUCUGAGAGGAAGGUCCCCCACAUUGGAACUGAGACACGGUCCAAACUCCUACGGGAGGCAGCAGUGAGGAAUAUUGGUCAAUGGGCGAGAGCCUGAACCAGCCAAGUAGCGUGCAGGAAGACGGCCCUAUGGGUUGUAAACUGCUUUUAUAGGGGAAUAAAGUGAGCCACGUGUGGUUUUUUGCAUGUACCCUAUGAAUAAGGACCGGCUAAUUCCGUG